UGGGGAAUCUUAGACAAUGGGCGCAAGCCUGAUCUAGCCAUGCCGCGUGGAUGAAGAAGGCCUUAGGGUCGUAAAGUCCUUUCGCUGGGGAAGAUAAUGACGGUACCCAGUAAAGAAACCCCGGCUAACUCCGUGCCAGCAGCCGCGGUAAUACGGAGGGGGUUAGCGUUGUUCGGAAUUACUGGGCGUAAAGCGCGCGUAGGCGGAUCGGAAAGUCGGGGGUGAAAUCCCGGGGCUCAACCCCGGAAUUGCCUUCGAAACUCCCGGUCUUGAGUUCGAGAGAGGUGAGUGGAAUUCCGAGUGUAGAGGUGAAAUUCGUAGAUAUUCGGAGGAACACCAGUGGCGAAGGCGGCUCACUGGCUCGAUACUGACGCUGAGGUGCGAAAGCGUGGGGAGCAAA
This 400-nucleotide ribosomal RNA is filed under the name uncultured bacterium. RNAcentral's name for it is "bacterial SSU rRNA". It matches the Rfam family "Bacterial small subunit ribosomal RNA", at positions 355 to 772 of the family's 1533-position model. The record is from RNAcentral.